AUGGCAAUUGUGCAACUGAUGUUUCAUGGUCAUUAUUAUCUGCUGUUUUUCAAACUUUCUGUUGUUCUUUCCUGCCAAAUCCAUGGAGCUUUGAGAUCCUCUCAGCUGCUCCCUUCCCCGGGCCACAGUCCACGAUCAUUUCCAGUUUGGAAAAAAGCAUGAUAGCUUGAAGUUGGACGUUAGCAAACAUUGAUUGCUGGCUGCUAGCCAUUUAACUGCCAGGAGAAAGAGGUAGGACUACUGCACAGACAGGGUAUCACUCAGGUUUCCUACGUCUGGUGGUAGCUUUCACAGGACCUCUGGACUGACAGGAGGGGAAAUGUGUUGGUCCAGUGAGGGCAUCUAGCCUUGAGUCUUACUGUAAAUGUGUGCUCAUCCUCCAGCCUUUAACCAAAGUAUAUCAGCUCUUAGUUUUUCAUGCUGAGGCAUACUGAAGAAAGAGAGGAGAUAGAUGGUAGAAAAGAGCCUUUUUACUUGUUGGAUCUCAGUAGGAAAAUAACUCCCCACUGACAAGCAAGACAUAAAGCCAGCUGAUGAGAAAGAUAGGGAG
This 550-nucleotide long non-coding RNA is filed under the name Numida meleagris (helmeted guineafowl). Its description in RNAcentral is "lncRNA (ENSNMEG00000000597.1)". Lineage: Eukaryota; Metazoa; Chordata; Aves; Galliformes; Numididae. The record is from RNAcentral.